RNAcentral lists this long non-coding RNA (4074 nucleotides) under Mus pahari (shrew mouse). Its description in RNAcentral is "lncRNA (MGP_PahariEiJ_G0005286.1)". The record is from RNAcentral. Lineage: Eukaryota; Metazoa; Chordata; Mammalia; Rodentia; Muridae.
AAAUUCCAGGCAGCACCAACAAAAACACGGCAGGCUUUGGGGGGCGGGGGGAGUCAUGGCCACCUGGGGUGGUCACCAGACAGGGGAUCUACAGCUCCAGAUACAGUCAGGGAUGGCACUAUUGGAGUCCAAGUAACUCUUGAAGUCCUGAGGCGUUGCUCCUGGGGCUGGCUUCUGUCUUAGCAACAUCUUCUGCUCCUCCUUCCCUUCCCCCUUCCAAGUCCAGGGACUCAUCUGCUUACAGCUUUCCUGCCAGUAGAGCCGACCACAGCUCUUGAAGGUCUGACCUGAGGUUAAAACUAGACCGAAGAUCAUCCGAUUCCAGCAGAAGGGUUUGGUGGCCUACGGUGACACAGUUCAAGGCCUCAGACCGGAGACUUAGAAGGAAGCAUAGGAGAAGCCAUCGGGCAUAGGAGCCGCUUGCUCAUCCUGGCCAACAGCCCCAGCUUCUGAUGGGACACUAAGGCUCAGAGAGCACCCACAGUGUUCGGUGUGACGAGUGCCACUCAGAAAUCAUGGAGACAGCGGUGAUUGGGAUGGUGGCAGUGCUGUUAGUCAUCACUAUGGCCAUUACCUGCAUCCUCUGCUACUACAGCUAUGACUCACAGACCCAAGACCCAGAGAGGGGCCCCAGACGUAGCUUCACCGUGGCCACGUUUCACCAGGAGGCGUCGCUCUUCACGGGGCCGGCUCUUCAAUCCCGGCCACUGCCGAGGGCCCAGAACUUCUGGACUGUUGUGUGAGGUUGGCAGUCCUUCGACAUUUAUUCUGCUAGUGGGUCAGACCCAUCUGCUCCUUCAGUAAGCAGUGCCUGGUGUCUCACUCCUCCCAGCUCUCCAUCCUUAUCCUACGUUCCACAAACUUCUUGCCUUCCUCCAAUCUGGCUCGCUCUGCCCUCUAUCCUGGGGGAAUUGAGGACCAGGCGUGAGUUACCUUUGAGCUGAGGGAUCAGCUUGACCCUACUCACAAUGGGGCUGAAGAGUCUGAGGAGAUGUGGACGGAUACUGUGUGGUAGCCUAUGGUGGGGUGGCUCCAGACAGUUAUGGAACCCCACUGGAAGUUAGCACCCUGUCAGCGGGGUGCAGUGACGGAAGUCUAUUUGCCACCCAAGGAACCAGCGCCCCCGAGUGGACGAUUUGAAGAACUACGCGUUUGUUAAUAUUUUUGGAUGCUGCACAGUGCUCAACCCUCUCAGGCUUGCUUCUGUUGCCUGAAAUCAGCCCUGAAAUUCUGAAAACAAAGAGCUGUUUUCCGGGAACAAGUGACUUAUUUUAUAAUUGAGGACGUAUAUCCUUUUAUGGAUCUCUCCAAAACUGCUCUGGAAAACCACAAAAGGAAGCAGGAGAGAAAAAGAGAGCCGCAGAGAGCACACGGUGUUUCAUUAACAGGAAGGCCACCAAGAAGACUUUUAAACACGUUUUGAACAAGACUUGCUUUAUUGCUAUAGUUCGACAGACUGUGUCUAUUCUUAGCAAAUGUGAGUGAUUUGCGUCACUUAGGAAUGAUAGAAAAAUCGUGAACUGAAAGAUAAUUCCAAAAAAAGUUAAAAUGUUGCUACAUUUCAGCGCAUGUGAAAGCUGUUGAUUUUAACACAAAUAAAGGGACAUUUGUUUUUAUUAAUAGAAAAUCUGCUCACGGAAUAGAUGCCAUCUUGUAUUUAGAGACUGUGAUCUGAAGGAUGGAAAAUUAGCUUUGUGGCUUGUAUGUCUGAAUCUAACCUUGAACGGGUAACUCUCUCAGGACCUGCCUGUUGAGGGGAUGAGACUGAACCAGGGUCCUCUGGGAUGUAAGGGGGUCCAGACAUGUGGCUGCCACAGGAAGGAUCCAGAGAGUCAGGCUUGGGUCUGGAGAGAUUUGGGGGUGGGGUUGGCAGGGAAGAAGUGCAGGAAGGGAGUCGGGGUGCUGGAUGGGGGUGGAGUGAAUCCAGGUAGGUCGAGGCUCAGGAGGUAGAAGCUUCUGGAAACAUGUCUCUGUCAGUCUGGACACUGAGUCCCUGACUAGGGCUUUUACAGACAGGCCAGAAGGGAGGGCAGGGAGUCCUGGGGACCUAAUGAAGGGGUCACAGCAGGUGGGAAGAGUCAGUGUGGGGCUGAGGCCAGGAUGGGCACCUGAGAGGGGAGACAGAAGCAGCCAGACUGAGGUAGAUCCCAGCGACCCUCACUGCAGCUCCCCCUGAGGGCUGGCUCCCCAGGGCUUUGUCUCCCCCUCAGGCAGAGCCUGCUCUGAAGAUCUUCCUUGAAUCUUGCCAUCUCCACAGGAACUGAGCGGAACCUUCUUCCGGGCAACAGCUAGACUGCUUGAGGGUGGGUGAGUCCCCAGACACAACGGAGCACCUGAGCACAAGGGUGUGUGUGUGUGUGUAUGUGUGUGUUGUGUAUGCGUGCACGGAAUCCUUCCCAAGUUGCUUUUGGUCAUGUGUUUUUGUCACACCGAUAGAUACCCUAAGUGUGCCAUGAUCUAUCGAUCUACUCACCCCACCAACCACGUACUCACUCACCCACAUAACCAUGCCUUCCCUUACCCACACGCUUUAUUCAUUCAUUCCAUUAUUCAGCCACCUGUCCUCCAUUUGGUGAGCGUGGACAGAGCUCUGCUGUGUACCUGCUCCUGCUCAGAGAAGGUGAGAGUCAGUCAGACCUGGUCCCAGCGCUCAGGGAAUACUGGACAGAACAGAAACAAACAUGCUUGGGGUGGGGUGGGGUGGGGAUAGGGAGAGAGGUGGGAGCCCAGGGAGAUUUGAGAGGAGGAGGAGGAGGUCCCUGAACUGGAAUAGAAGCAGAGAAGAGUCUUGGAUGAACAGGUCCAAGAAGGUGUUGGUGUAGAGAGCCCGUGGAGCAGGGAGAGCAGCAGCUUGGCUUGGCCCGGAGGAGAUGAGGCUGGACACCAGUCAUCUCCCAAGGGAAGCAUGUUCCCAGGCAGUGAAUGCUAAAUAUAGUACUGAGGUGGCCUUGGUCCAGGGACAAAAGAGCGCAUGACUACCUGCUGCUGAUGCAGUGCGGAGGUGGGUCUGAAGGCAGAUCAUGGGCCCUAGGUCCUCUGAGGAUUGGGGAGGUGGGUCUGAGGGCAGGGAAGCGCAGCCUAGAAGAGUAGGACUUCUAAAAAGGAAGGUGGUCCUCCCUGGGGCAAUCUAGCAAAGGGCUGAGAGGCGAAGCUAGAGCGGGGGAAGGAGAUCUGGGAGAACACAGACUAGAGGCUCUGGGGAGUGGAGUCUCUAAAAUCAUAAGAAUGCCAGGUAAGCUGGGAUCUCAAGUCAGUGAUGAGUAAUUUCUAGUUUGAAUGUAUUUCAUGAAAUAGUUGGAACACACACUAAAACGUUCAUUACCUAUGUAAGAUCAAGUGUUAUGGGGCAUCUUGUAUUUUAUCCGGUAGCCCCAUGGGACUGGUUAAAGACAGCAGAGGGUUGUCAGAGGAGCGUAGAGAGAAUUUUGCAACAUAAGGGUUGACAGUGACAUGGGUGACAACAGUGGACAGCCACUUUGCAGGCUGUGAUGUGUGUGCAUGGUUUGUGUAUGGUGUGUUGUAUGUGUCUGAUGUGCAGUAUGUAUAUGGUUCAUGAUAUGUGGUAUGUGUAAUGUGUACACCGCCUGUGUAGUAUAUGUGGUGUCUUGGGGUUUUUAUUGUUGUGAUAAAACACCAUGACCAAAGCAGCUUGGGAAGGAAAAGGUUUGUUCGGCAUAUGCUUCCACAUCAUCAAAGGAGGUCAAGACAGGGACUCAGACAGGGCAGGGAGUGGGGACAGCAGCUGAUGCAAAGGUCACGGAGGAGUGCUGCUUACUGACUUAUUCUUCAUGGCUUACUCGGCCUGCUUCCUUACAGAACCCAGGACCUCCAGCCCAGAAAUGGCCCCACUCACAACGGGCUGGGCCCUCCCACAUCCAUCACUAAUUUUAAAAAAUGCUCUACAGGCUUGCCCGAAGCCCAACUCUUUUUUUAAUUUAACUUUUUAUCAAUUCUUUGUAAACUUCACACUGUGGGCUCCAGUCCAACUCAUUCCCCUGUCUCUCUGUAUCUGCCCUCUUCCCUUGCAACCUCCCCCACCGAAGAAAACAAAAAUCAAAAACAAAAAAUGAAAGU